RNAcentral lists this long non-coding RNA (1098 nucleotides) under Bemisia tabaci. RNAcentral describes it as "lncRNA ENSSSA1UGG007416". Lineage: Eukaryota; Metazoa; Arthropoda; Insecta; Hemiptera; Aleyrodidae. The record is from RNAcentral.
AUGCUACAUUUAAGGGGAUGUGUUCUCAUACUGUCCGCGGCCUACCUUCUUCGUGAGAUACAAUGCGCGACCCAGCUUCAAACUCAGGUUACGGUGCCGUCGGCGGCAGAGGUUGGUCAGGCGGUGAACAAUGCCGGGCAAUGGGCCGGGAACCAGGUGCAAAACGCAGGGCAGGUGGCCGGCAAAGUGGUCAACGGCGCAGGCAACUUGGCCGGGCAGGCGGUCAACGGCGCAGGCAACUUGGCCGGGCAGGCGGUCAACGGCGCAGGCAACUUGGCCGGGCAGGCGGUCAACGGAGUCGGCCAUGCGGCCGGCGCGGUAGUCAACGGAGCUGGCCAAGUGAUUAGCGGUGCUGGUCAGCUGGGCAAACAGGCCGUGAGUGGCCUCGGUAACGCCGCCCAGACCGUAGGCAACUUCGCCGGCAAUGUCGCACAAGGCGCGGGGAAUGUGUUGACGUACGCGGUGACGUCAGCUGGGCGGACGAUCACGGCGGCCGGGCAAGCCAUCACGAACGUGGCCAUGUUCCCGAUAAACGUUGCCCGAGGCGCUUACAGCGACCUGCAGAUGAGGAUGAUGAAAAUGCAACUCCAGAUGGCUGCUUACAAGCAAGCUGUGGCCAACAGCUACAACUACACCUCGCCCCAGUACGCCUACCAAUCGGCCAUGUUCGACCAGAUCGCAAUCGUCGACCUUACACCCUACGUCAAUUCGCUGAACGCAGACUUGAUGCCGUACGGGCAGAUGGUACGGAUCACCAGGACGAACGGGGUGCCGAGCUACAUCUUUCCGACUAUCCUCGACUCGAAUGCUGCAAGCCACUCGCUUCCCAACGGCUUCAGCCUCCAGCAGAACCAAAUCGUCAACGCACAGGGCCAGGUUGUCGGGGGCGUCCCUCAGUAUCAACCCUCCUACAACGGCAACAUCCUCAAUGAUGCUGCAGGAAAUCAGUACAAACUUGGACCAGACAUCUACCUGGACCAACAAGGUAACCUGCUGUAUAGGCGGAACAACCAGCCGUGGGCGAUCGCCGGCCAGUACGUCAUCGAUUUGGGAGGUGGUUCCUGUCAUUUAAAUGAGAAGAAAAAAAUGUGGACAUAA